AUGCUGAGUGUGUGGACUCACCUCCAGCUCGGACACAACGUCCUAAGACCAGCUCUGCCUCAGGGGCCCCUGGAGCUGGACGGCAGGAGGAGACAGGAGCGUGCUGCUCUCCAGCAGCCAUUCCUCCCAGACUCCUGGGCCUUGUCUCUUCCACCAUCACACUCCUUCCAUCACCUGCUGCAGCCCCAUACACCACCUGCACCCCUCCUUUACCCACUGCACCCCAUAUCCCACCACCCCCCCUUCCCUUACCCUCACCUCCCCUGUGUGCCACCUGCCUCCUCUUCCCUUACCUCCAUCAGCUUUGGGUUUUCCCUUCUUAGGGAAGAAAGGUUGUCACCUUCAGCACAGUGAAACUGUGGCAGGUGAUCUCCGUAGGGGGCUGAGCUGUACCCCUGGCCUCACCCCCUGGAUGCCAGAAGGACCCUCCACCCAGCUGUGACAACCAGAAGCAUCUCCAUACACUAGCAGUGCUCCCUGGGAAGAACCACCCCUGGCCAUAGACUGCAGUGUGCACGUUAUCUUCUCCCCGUGUGUCUUUCCAACACACUUCCCUUCCCAUUCUGAUGAUUCCCCAGCAUCUUUGACCAUUUCCUGUAUGUCAGAGACCCCUAAAAAUCCCAUCAAAACCAAAACAGCCCUCUGAUGCUGUGUAUACCCCAAGGCAUGCAGAAACAUGGCCUGAUUGUCCCUUUAGUUGUAUACCUUAGUGGGUGCCAAGGAGGAUGCCAGGGCCUGGAGAGUGAGGGGCAGAUCUUUUGCCAACAAAACCAAAAAUUGUCCACUGGUGUCUACCAAGUUCAAGACACAGCAUGAUAUAGUCAUGAGCAAGAAAAGACAGAUCUGUCCUGUGGGGAGCAAUCCGGACUAGACUAAGUUACUCGAAUUAAGACUUAUUCUAUGCAUCUGCUCUCCCACAAUAUGGCGCUGGGAGAGAAGUAAACAGCUUCCGCACAGCUGCCUCCAGUUCAACCAAUUAACUGUAGGACUUGCUCCUGAUUGGAGAGCAGCGUACUCGGCGUGUGGGCAGCCGAGUUGGGAUUGGCAGAGAAGGACUAUAAAGGAGGAGAGAAACGGCAUGCACCGGGGAACAUCUAUGGGGAACAUCUGAAGGAACGCCUGUGCAGCCCCCCAGAGAGCCGGCCGGCGGAGUGCCGCUCCCCUGCGGAAGUGGGGAAUGUGGCCAGGGGGAACUGCCCUUCCACGGAGGUGGAAGGGAUAGUAGCCAACCCGGGAAGAACCAGCAGAAAACCCGGGGAGGGCCGAGCAGACGAAAGAACAGCGCAGGGUUCAGUGUUGCUCCUCCACGAAGAGGGGGAGCGACAUAAUGGUGCCGUGACUCGGAUAGGAAACCUAGCUCGGAUAGGAAACCUAGGACGGAUAGCAAACUUAGGAGGGAAGAAACGGGAAGAACUGUGAAAAAUACCGGAGAGAGAGACUAGCAAACAGCCUAGGGAAAAGCCGGACGAAAAGGGUGCCGGAAGAAGCUAUUGAAAGCCUAGGCAUAGACUCGGAUUCGGACUACGGGGGGAAGCUGGGAGAAAUCUCUAAGGUCGAAAGCGAAAGUGAAAGCUAGAACAAACAGACUCGGAUGCAGACUGUGGGGAGAGGCCAGGAGAAAUGAGGGAGGAGUAUUGUUGGAAGAAAGCUUGGGGAAACAUACCGGGUAGAGAAAAAUGUUAGGGAAAUUGAAGCCGCGGGGGGCAGGCCGAGGCGGAAACGAAAGCCACUUUGGGGUUCUCAAGUUAGCCCGGGAAUAGGGGGCGAAAAGUUGAAACCAGAAGCUGAGACGUAAGCCAGAUUGGGAUCCGUCUGAUUAGCCCGGGGAGCAAAGGACGGGAAGCCAAAUCGUGGGGCGGAGACGUACGCUGGGUUGAAUUCGCCAGGCUAGCCCGGGGAACUUAGAUUGAAUCCUAGUGGCGGAGACGCAAGCUACGCUGUGUUACUCGCGGAAGCCGCCGCGUGCAGAGAGAGCACGGGGCGUGAAUAGAUAGGGAACGCUGGCGUAGGCCGUGGUUCAGACGCGAAAGGGUUAAGCGUGGAGACCGCGGAGCGCGCAAAGCCGAGCCGCGCAAAGCCGGGAAGCUGCGCAGAUGAGAGAGGCGCGCGGGCUGAAGCGGCGCAGAGCCGGGAACCCGCCGGUGGGGCGAGGUGCCGGAAAGCUGCGGGGAUAAGAGAAACAGAAGUUUAGAAGUAAAAGAGAAAUAGGAAUGUUGGCAGACAGAAGUAAAAUGGGAGAAAUAGAAAUGCCCGGAGAUAGAGAAAUAGAGAAAAAUGAGGCCUCCCCUCAACAUGCCAAUUAGAAGGCUUGGAUUCGGUCUGCCCGAUUAGUGAGGCGAUGAGUACCUGGGUGGCUAGCCGCAGGUCACCGAAGACAGGCACGAAUUAACAUCAGUAAAGCUUCCCCACAAUGCAACAAUAUUAAGCUUGGAUUCGGUCUGCCUGAAUUAAGGCGGUAAGCGCCAGCAAAGCUCGACCAGAGUAUGAGCUGCAGGUCACCGAAGAUAGGCACGAACCAACACUAAUAAGUCUCCCCCACAAUACGGCAAUGAGAAGGCUUGGAUUCGGUUUGCCUGAUAGGUUUUGUAAACACCUGCAGGCAGUUCUAGCAGAGCAGAGUAUGCGCUGCAGGGCACCGAACACAGGCACGCAUCAGCGCCUAAAAACCUCCUCACAACAUGGCGAAGAGAGGACCCGGAUUCGGUUUGCCUGAUGGAUAGGACUUGUAAGAGCCUGUGGCAACUCUAGUGUGUGCCGCGGGACACCGAAGACAGGCGCGUAUCAACGCCAAAAAUAAAAAGAAAGGGGGAUCUGUGGGGAGCA
Molecule: long non-coding RNA, 2823 nt
Organism: Oryctolagus cuniculus (rabbit)
Lineage: Eukaryota; Metazoa; Chordata; Mammalia; Lagomorpha; Leporidae
Source: Ensembl